UACGAAGGGGGCUAGCGUUGCUCGGAAUCACUGGGCGUAAAGCGCACGUAGGCGGCUUCUUAAGUCAGGGGUGAAAUCCUGGAGCUCAACUCCAGAACUGCCUUUGAUACUGAGGAGCUUGAGUCCGGGAGAGGUGAGUGGAACUGCGAGUGUAGAGGUGAAAUGCGCAGAUAUCAGGAGGAACACCGAUGGCGAAGGCAGCUCGCUGGGACGGUACUGACGCUGAGGCGCGAAAGCGUGGGGAGCAAACAGG
RNAcentral lists this ribosomal RNA (253 nucleotides) under uncultured bacterium. RNAcentral describes it as "partial 16S ribosomal RNA". It matches the Rfam family "Bacterial small subunit ribosomal RNA", at positions 524 to 776 of the family's 1533-position model. The record is from RNAcentral.